UGUGGGAGCGAGCCUGCUCGCGAAAGCGUCGGGUCAGCCACAUCAUCUUUAACUGACACACCGCAUUCGCGAGCAGGCUCGCUCCCACA
Molecule: unclassified non-coding RNA, 89 nt
Filed under: Pseudomonas sp. B10
Lineage: Bacteria; Pseudomonadati; Pseudomonadota; Gammaproteobacteria; Pseudomonadales; Pseudomonadaceae
Source: RNAcentral